Non-coding RNA from Pelobates cultripes (western spadefoot toad), 1741 nucleotides. NCBI's taxonomy places the organism in Eukaryota, Metazoa, Chordata, Amphibia, Anura, Pelobatidae. The record is from the annotation of a GenBank genome assembly.
AGGAGCUGCGUCGCUGCACAAAAUCAAAACAGCGGUUUAAAAAAGAUCCCAUGUGAUCGCAAUUUCCUCCAGAGACCCAAACACCGACAAUGAGAUGCCAUAGUAAUCGUAGCACCAGAAGAUACCAGUACACGUCACGUGUUGUGCGUAAUCACCAAUGCCACAUAGUAAGUAGGGACCAUGGCCAUUGUUAAAAGCUGCAUAUUCUGAAAUGUUUUGUUAAACAUCAGCUUAUGCAUAAGACUAGGACAAUACAAUGCCCGUUUGUAAUUAUUAUAUCUUUUGGUUGUGUUGGAAUUUCAUUCAAAUACCAAUACCGUCUAAAUUUAAAGGGACACUGUUAUCACUAUAACCAUUUCAUCUUUUUGAAUUGGUUAUAGUACCUGUAGUGCCCUCACACUGUCCCUCCAUUUAGUGUUGCACCAUGUUCGUGCAGUAUGCCACAAAAUAAGAAUCCCUGGCCACCCACAGUCCAGCCCCUUCUGCAUGUGUAGCUAAGGCAGAGAUUACACACUUCCUUGUUGUCAUACCCAUUCAUACCAUCAGUUGGAGUUCUGACAGACUAAAAGCAGUCAGCUGACAUUCUCAGCCAAUCACAGCUGCCCAUUAAUGCUUAGGCUAAUACUUCCUUAUUAGCCAAAGAAGCACAGAGGGGAUGGAUUGCUGGGGACUCUUGUUUAGCAUUAAAACAUUAAAAACUGUUUAACGCUGAAAGAAAUGAUGGUACCAGGGGACUCCAGACACUAUAAUGAGAUGAAGCAGAUACAGUGCCUACAGUGUCCCUUAAGUUACAUUUUUAACCCUUUAAGGAUCAAACUUCUGGACUAAAAGGGAAUCAUGACACGUCACACAUGUCAUGUGUCCUUAAGGGGUUAAAUCUAUGUUUUGCUUACAAACAUUCUAUCUUUAUGAAAAAGUCACCAGUGAUAGCUGUUCACAAGGGGUCCUUCAGGCACGAAACGAGUCCAGCUCGUGUGGCACGUGUCUCUCUUUACCCCCUCUCAUGCACUGCUAUUUUUGGGUGCUAUUUAUAUGCCAAUGUUUAAAUGUUUUGAACACGUUUUAUAUAGUUAAUAAAGAGUCAUUUCAUUGAUCAACUUUAUUGUUUAUUUUUGACGGAGUGCAUUACCGUGUGAUAUUGCCUUAUUUUGUUUUCGGGGGUUAACUCUAAAGUCAACCCUCAAGGAAGCAAUUGCACCUCCUGUUAUAUUUUUUGUGCAUACGGUUUAAAAAAAAAAGAAGUUUUUUAUCCAGCGAGAAAGCAGUGGACUAUUGCACUAACUAAAAAAAACAAUGCUCUGAAAUGAAAAAACUCAAAAGCAUCUGUUUUAAUUCUGACAGUUACAUUACUCUCCUAGGUAGGAUCCAGAAAGUUGAAGAAUUUAAAGUGAAACAUAGUAUUCUGAAGGGCUUGGUAGUGUGUGGGUAGCAAGGUGUGAAUUUAUUUAGAUUAAGUGCUUUCAGGAAGUGAGACCGUUUAGGCCAGCUGUCUGAUAUAGUGGAUGGGGUAUUGGAGCAUAUUGGCAAAAUAAAUAUGGCCAGAUAACUGGAUCUGUUGCACAUUGUGUAACAGCCAACAUUACAGCUCUCUGUAAAUUUGGCAUCAGGUUUCAAAACCUCAUAAAAGGUUUAUUUAUGUUGCAAGAGAAAUCCAGUAAAAUGACACUUGUGUGGAUCCAUUUAAAGAGGAACUGUCCCCUCUGAGGAUGUUACAUUAGUUAAUGAAGUAUGUAAAACCUGC